UCUGGGUUUUUAAUGUUAUAUUGCCGGUGGUUCAAACAUCUACAUCAACUUCUACCUGUUUAAAUGCUUAUUGCUUCAUCCUGCUGUCCUUGCUGUCCGUGCUGUUUGGUUUUCUUCUCUUUUGUCCUUCGGCGAAAAAUAAUUUCACCUUCCAAAUGGUUGUGCUGUGUCUCUGUGUGCGUUUAUAUUGGCUUCUUGUAUUUUUUUUCCUUACUCCUUUUGUUUUGUUUAGUUACGGAUUUAACGAUUUAUAAAACCUCUGUGGUGAAGGAAAAAAACUAGAUCAGGGGUGUCUGAGUCCGACGAUGUCAUAUGUAGGGCACUUAUCUAAAAAGCAUCAAACUUGCAUUUUGUUCGGAUGUGUCACCAUGCAGUUAUGUCGGUGUCAGAGCAGUCGGCAGCCUGCCAAAAAGUUCCAACUUUUGGCAACGAUGACUUGCUAGGAGGCGACUGUUUUUUAUGUAACAAUCAUUUCCUCGUUAUAGGGUUCCGAAACUUGAGAAGCGUCCGCUGCAACUGAGGCAUCAUGAUCAUUUCGCAACGAAACAGGGGCUGCAUCUGUUGAUUCUUUUUCGCCCUCGGUGCACGAAUCAUACUGCGUCCUACUACUAGCAGAUGAAAUUCUAUCCGAUUCCCCGCUCUCCCGGUUACUUCUCUGCGUGUUGGUGCCGGCAUUGGACUCCCCCUCUCUCUUUUCACAACCCUUAAUGCUUGUUGUCUCACUAUGCCUUGAAACAAGCUUUUUAUACAGAGAUCUCAGUAUCUUAGGGCAGCUGAGAUUGCCCCAACUGGAUGAUCUGGUAAGUUUCUUGCUCGAAUUGGUAUUCCUACUCCUCGAAUUGGUCUUUGUACUCGAGCUUUUUCUCAGGUAACCCCUUUCGGAUAGGUAAACCUCUAGGACGAAGGGUUCUUGCUGCUCUUGGAGGAGAUCUGCGAGUUUUACUGACUUGGGGGUGGAAGCCAUUGGAGAAUUCUGUGGUUAGGGAUGGGCUGAGAUAGAAAGAGUUGGGGUGCAAAGUAGAAAAGUUGGCAAAUGAGAGACGGUGGUGAGGUUCUGAAGGUGAGUUAAUUGAGGACGACAAAUCAUAUCCAUCAGCUUUGGGACUGAACAGAAGCAGAACAGAGAAGGAAGGUUGGUAUUUAUUUUGUGUGUGUGAGAGAGAUCGAGAGAGAGAUCUAGGUUGUAUGUAUAACUGGUUGAGGUUAUGAGUCUUAUGACCUAUGAGUUUUAGGUAUUGCCUUGUUGCAAGUUAGGUCUUAGCUGUGUUUUUAACUGAAGUUAGUAUGUCCACCCCCUUGCACUUGA
This is a long non-coding RNA of Pyrus x bretschneideri (Chinese white pear), 1306 nucleotides long. RefSeq lists it as uncharacterized. The record is from RefSeq and is a predicted model, not a curated record. The transcript is spliced from 2 exons. Lineage: Eukaryota; Viridiplantae; Streptophyta; Magnoliopsida; Rosales; Rosaceae.